This is a non-coding RNA of Kogia breviceps (pygmy sperm whale), 284 nucleotides long. NCBI's taxonomy places the organism in Eukaryota, Metazoa, Chordata, Mammalia, Artiodactyla, Physeteridae. The record is from RefSeq and is a predicted model, not a curated record.
GCACUGUCGCAGUUUAACAACCCUGGGCUGUGAAUUUAUCCUCGCACUUUCUGGAGUGAGGACUCCAGGCUUAAAAUCCUAGCUUCACACUUGGCGACCCGGGGCGGCAGCUGCUGGGCCUCUGGGGGCCUCAACUUCCUCAGCGUAAGGAUGCAUGAGCCAACAUGAAGAGGCCAAAGAGGAGACAACUGGAGUAUCAAAGAACACAAUGACUUAAACUGAAAAACCCGACACAUGAACACAGGAGUUCCUAAUGAAAUAAAGCAGUGGCCUCCCCAUCCAAG